Long non-coding RNA from Anolis carolinensis (green anole), 1146 nucleotides. RefSeq lists it as uncharacterized. The record is from RefSeq and is a predicted model, not a curated record. Lineage: Eukaryota; Metazoa; Chordata; Lepidosauria; Squamata; Anolidae. The transcript is spliced from 2 exons.
UCGGACACGACUAGACUUACUGUCAGGGUAAAACCUUUACCUUUUUAUAGUCUGAUUGAAUAUGAGGAGGAACGUUUUGACAAUGGAACCAACUAAUUAUGAAGUGUUAUGAUUGAGCCUCAUGGCUCUGUUACUGACAGGCGUGGGCGUAAGACUCCUCGAGAGUCGGAUACUCUCGAGGAGCGAGAGAGAAAAAGACUGCGAGACAUAUUUGCAGCACCAUCUGAUGAAGAGUCUUUCGAGGGAUUUACGGAGAGAAUGGAGGAGGGGCAGGUUAGCUCGGAGGAGGAUGAGAUGGAUUGGACUCGGGUAAGGGAGGAAUUGGGUGCCACUGGCCAUGAUGGGGCAGAAGAUGAAUGGGGACCUUCAGGAUCAGAUCCAUGGCUUAGCUGGAGGGAUGGGACGGGAUCCACAGCUGGAGAUGCUGCUGGGCGUAGUCAGAGGUGUUCCAGCUCUGACGAGGAAAGUGAUGAGGAAACGCCCGGGUUAAGGAGGACAGCUGACAGUGAUGAAGAUUUGUAACUGGCAUAAAAUGGGGCUUGGGAGCAAUUGCAAAUUGCGUUGGGCAAGGUAAUCUGGGCAAACGCUUGGGAUCCGUGUGUGUGUGGGACGCUUCCCUGAAGACUUGUGUGCUUUCCUGUGCUGAGACCUUGACCUUCCGUCGUCUUCUUGACGGACGCCAUCUCCUGCUUUGAAUACCCGGACUGAACUGACCACGGCUUGGCUUCAUCCCCUUCUUGGACUUGGGAAAACUACAAACGUCUGCUUCUGGCUUUGAACUACGGAACGGAACUGGUCUACUCUUCUGCUGCAUUCCCUAGCUGAUCUGUUCGUGCUGGAAAUCCUGUCUGCUGUGUGUGUGUGGGAGCGACGCAAGUUACUCUAAACACUGUGUUGGCAGCAGAGAGGAAUCUGCUGCCAAUUAGCUGCAUUCUUUGUAUCUUUUGUUCUUGGCUCUCGUUUUGUUUAUAUUCAGGCUGAAGCAAGCAGUUUGUUUUUUACCCGGAUUAAACUCCGGUUUAAUUCGGUUUAUCUUUUGAACAUUUAUUUUGCCCCUUUUUGCUCCUAAAGGCAAAUACUGCCUGGCCCUUGUGUUUUACGGGCUUGUUUUGAGUUUUGUAACCUAAUAAACUUUGUUACUGUGAA